RNAcentral lists this ribosomal RNA (505 nucleotides) under uncultured bacterium. RNAcentral's name for it is "partial 16S ribosomal RNA". It matches the Rfam family "Bacterial small subunit ribosomal RNA", at positions 28 to 507 of the family's 1533-position model. The record is from RNAcentral.
GACGAACGCUGGCGGCGUGCCUAAUACAUGCAAGUAGAACGCACAGUUUAUACCGUAGCUUGCUACACCAUAGACUGUGAGUUGCGAACGGGUGAGUAACGCGUAGGUAACCUGCCUGGUAGCGGGGGAUAACUAUUGGAAACGAUAGCUAAUACCGCAUAAUAUUGAUUAUUGCAUGAUAAUUGAUUGAAAGAUGCUAUUGCAUCACUACCAGAUGGACCUGCGUUGUAUUAGCUAGUAGGUGAGGUAACGGCUCACCUAGGCGACGAUACAUAGCCGACCUGAGAGGGUGAUCGGCCACACUGGGACUGAGACACGGCCCAGACUCCUACGGGAGGCAGCAGUAGGGAAUCUUCGGCAAUGGACGAAAGUCUGACCGAGAAACGCCGCGUGAGUGAAGAAGGUUUUCGGAUCGUAAAGCUCGGUUGUAAGAGAAGAACGGGUGUGAGAGUGGAAAGUUCACACUGUGACGGUAUCUUACCAGAAAGGGACGGCUAACUACGUG